CCUACGGGUGGCAGCAGUGAGGAAUAUUGGUCAAUGGACGAGAGUCUGAACCAACCAAGUAGCGUGAAGGAUGACUGCCCUAUGGGUUGUAAACUUCUUUUAUAUGGGAAUAAAAUGUUCCACGUGUGGGAUUUUGUAUGUACCAUAUGAAUAAGGAUCGGCUAACUCCGUGCCAGCAGCCGCGGUAAUACGGAGGAUCCGAGCGUUAUCCGGAUUUAUUGGGUUUAAAGGGAGCGUAGGUUGAUUGUUAAGUCAGUUGUGAAAGUUUGCGGCUCAACCGUAAAAUUGCAGUUGAAACUGGCAGUCUUGAGUACAGUAGAGGUGGGCGGAAUUCGUGGUGUAGCGGUGAAAUGCUUAGAUAUCACGAAGAACUCCGAUUGCGAAGGCAGUUCACUGGACUGCAACUGACACUGAGGCUCGAAAGUGUGGGUAUCAAACAGGAUUAGAUACCCUUGUAGUC
RNAcentral lists this ribosomal RNA (460 nucleotides) under uncultured bacterium. RNAcentral's name for it is "partial 16S ribosomal RNA". It matches the Rfam family "Bacterial small subunit ribosomal RNA", at positions 338 to 795 of the family's 1533-position model. The record is from RNAcentral.